This 316-nucleotide long non-coding RNA is filed under the name Gossypium barbadense (sea-island cotton). Its description in RNAcentral is "long non-coding RNA (GBAR_LNC007159)". The record is from RNAcentral. Lineage: Eukaryota; Viridiplantae; Streptophyta; Magnoliopsida; Malvales; Malvaceae.
GCGAACUUUCAAGUUUGAAGUUAAUUAUGUUCAUCUUUUGAUGUUGUUGUCGAGACCAUUUUUAGAUCGAGUUUUGGAAAAUGGGAAUUGACUUUAAGAGAAACGAAAACGGAAGUCACCACCAAUCUUUUUAGGUGUGAUUGGAUCACCUUUAAAACAUUUUUUUUAAAUCAUUAGUUUUGGUCUACGAAAGUCGAGAAAAUAGAUUCGGGAGUCGGUUACGUACGAGGAAGGGUUAGCACCCUCGUAACGCCCAAAAAUUGGUACCUAAUUGAUUAUCAAGUGUCUCUAAUGUCGGAGAUUUAAAAAUUUUAAG